This 30-nucleotide non-coding RNA is filed under the name Rattus norvegicus (Norway rat). The record is from RNAcentral. Lineage: Eukaryota; Metazoa; Chordata; Mammalia; Rodentia; Muridae.
UACUUGUUAUGCUUGUGCUUUAGGUUGUCU